This is a non-coding RNA of Pantherophis guttatus, 9758 nucleotides long. The record is from RefSeq and is a predicted model, not a curated record. Lineage: Eukaryota; Metazoa; Chordata; Lepidosauria; Squamata; Colubridae.
UAAGAGCAUCAGGACUCCCAGCAGCGGGUCGGACCGGCUGUGCUUCGCCGUUUGUGAAGCGGUCUGGGGCUGCGACUUGUUGCUUCUGCGCGACUCUUGAAAGACGCCGGUGUUUUUGCAAAAGCAGAUGCGCCUUUGCCGGCCGCUUCUUCUUCUUCUUUUUUGCUUUGCUUUGCUUUGCUUUCCAAUCCCCUCCCCCAAUGUAUUGUGGAGCGAGUCAAGUGGCUUUAGCUGCUCCUGAAGAGGAGGAGGAGGAGGAGGAGGAGGAGGACAGGUGAAAAGGCUGGCGCUUUGUUGUGCGCUGGAUGCUCUCGCUUCCACCCCUCCCUGCUUCUUCUGCCUGUGCAACAGGUAGCGAUGUCAGAAGCCGGGAAAAGCUGCGCGCCGAGUCCCGGCCGCGGUGACCCUUUUGUUCUCCUCGCCUGGAUGCGCUUCCAAAAGUGAAAGGAAAGCGGCUUCACCCAAAACUUGCUUCCCGUCCCCCACCCCUCCCUCUCUCCCUCCUCCCAGCGCGACGCUUGAGUAGCCCUUCCACUCCUCACAACUCCCAUCCUGGUUUCCUAAAAGCCCCGCUUUUCGUCUUUGGGAAGGGUGAGAGGAUCCCGCGCCCACCCUGCCGGAUUGCGAGGGGGGGGGAUCGUUCUCUGCGCCUGUCAAGGGGAUCCAAACAAAGAGGUGCAUUUGCCGGAAAUAACGAUCGGAGGGAUUCUCCUUGCCUCCUCCGCCUCCAUUAAGAUUGUUUUUCUGGGAGGCUCACUUAGAGGGAAGUUUUGAAACUGGAAGUUAGGGAUGAGGCGAGAAACCCAACAGCCUGCGCCUAUCUCUCUCUGUGUAUAUAUAUAUAUUUCUUUAUCUUAUCUCGGGAUCCAGACGUUUCGAAGGAGUAAGUGCGGCUGAAGUUGGCUUGGUCCUCCAGCUGAUGGUAAUAAACUUAAGGAAAGAUGAAUAUCUUGCAGAUCCUUUCUUAAAAACAUACAAUCUGUAAGCAGAUUGUAGGCAGAAUGCUACUACAAAAGACAGAUAAUGAAAGAUCCAGACUGCUGCUGGGUGGUCUCUCUUCCAAACAGCACAAUGUGUGUGUUUACAUCAGCUGAAGGAUUACUGUGAACGCAGAAAGUGAAGAGAAUGAGGAAUGUUGACUUCCAUAUCUGUCCUUUCAGUUCAGCCAUGUGUGAGUCAGAUCUUUAUCUGUUGGAUGUCUAGGGCUAAAGAGUCCUUCAAACGAAGGAAUGCAAUCAACGAAAACACUUUGGAGGAGGAGAGCCUGUGCAGAGAAGGGGGUCUGUCUAGACUUCCAAACAAUUUCCCUUUCCUGACCAAGGCAGAUCAUAUUUCCUUCCUAAGGAACAUGGCUGUGAAGUCACCGUUUUGUUUUUGACCCUGGUUUUCCUGCAAAUGUUUGAGUCAAACUCUGAUUGUAAAGAAGAUUCAAGGCACAUAAACAUUUCAAAGCAAGAGAAGUCUUCUUUCUGUAAUGGCUUCAGCAUGCAGUGGUAACAGGGGACAGGAAAAGGCUAAGUGAGCUUCUUAUUUGUCAAAGGUAAAUUAUUCAGAAGGCAGGCCAAAUGGAGAUUGCCGGAGAACUAAUGGUAUAUGGAGGAUUUCAUUUCAUCCUCUCCAGUUCGGAGCAGGCUUUUCAGGAAUUCAUUGAAGUGGAAUCGGCUUUGAGCACUGCAGCCAAGAAGUAAUAUUCUGCCAUCCAGCUUGUGUCUGUGGAACAGCAUCCCCAGCAGCCUUCCCUUCAGCAGUCGCAUGCACAACCAUAGGCACACAGGCAAUGUAGUAUGUGCAGAGGUGUAGUAGGUCCCUGUCGAGCCCUUUUAAGGGGACCGUUUCUCUAGGGCUGCUGCAGAGGAGCAGUUGUGGUCUCGUUAUCUGUGGAUGCUGCUUUCCCCGAACGUGCGUUUGGCCACUUCAGUGCUGCAUCAUGCGGUUCUCAUGUGACACUGGCUCUCUCUGGCAGUUUGAAACAAGAGGUUGGGUGAUUCCGCAUUUCUGGACAGUUGCGUUCAGCAACAUAGGCAGUCGCAAUCCCAAAUGACAGAAAUAAAAAAAAGUUUUAUUUAUUAGUGCCUUGAUUUUGCAGUGGUUUUGCUUUAAUCCUCUGUUUUAGAGGGGAUAUGUGUGGGGGGGGCACUCCUGCUUUUUCCUUCCUGCAGGAUUUGAGCCAUGCUGUUGGAAAGGAGCGAUUUCGUCUUCUCUCGGAGUGAUGACGCUGCACCACUUUUGGCAUAUCCUGCUUCCCCCAUUUACCUGGGUGGCUGUUGCUGCUGCUGCUGGGGUUGCUGUUGCCUGCCUGCCUGCCUGCCUGCCUGCUUGCAUUUCAGCCCGGCUUGUUUCAGGAGAGCAUCACUCAUCAGCACGCAAAGGGAAAGACACACGAUGAAAUCUGGGCACUGCAUUCUGUUAUUGCUGCUGGAGGCGAAGAAAUGGGGGAUGCAAGGUUUACUUUUCCCCUCCCUGAACGGUGAAAAUGCGAGUUAAAGGUUUGGGGAGCAAACAUUUAAAGAAAUGCCGUGCCAGCUAAUCCGAUACAUAUAGGGAGGGCAUUGGCAGCAAUGCAGCAUGAACGGAACGUUAUGCGUCCAGAGGAAGAAUUCAACCACUGCUAUUUGGAUUAUUAUGGGGAAAGCCUUGGUGAUGCAGUUUCACCUCAGAGGAGAGCUGUGCUGAAGAUGGAUAAAUGAAGUGCCUUGUAUGUGUGCCUGUCAGAGCACAGCCAUGGGAAAAAAGGAGUGGAAGCCAGCAAGUGGCAAGGAAGACGGAGAGCUGCAUGCCGUCUGAUUGUCCUCUUUGGUGUCUGCUUAUUCCAGCAAUGGUGAUAGCAUAAUUUACGGAAAUGUGCCUGGAGACAGGGACUUGAAAUUGUAGACCGAACACUCCCUAAUGCUGUUACAGAGGAAACGAAAGGUGUAUGUGGCUGCAAAGACACAAACGCCUUGUGGGGGAAAAGAGAAGUGUGCAGAAUCAAUGUUCUGACCAUGUUCUGGAUAUUGGUAUGGGAAAACAAAGGAGAAUAAAGCAAAACAAUUGAACAGGACUUUUAAUGGAUACAUGAAAAGAAUCACUUGUUUCCUCUGGUACAUUAAAAGCAAGUAAACAAAGGAGAAUCUUUUGGUCAACCAGAAGACAUGUUAAAAGAUUCUCUCCCCUUGUCUUUCCCUAGCAGUCUAUGAAACACAUUGACAGGAGCAGAGAAAAGAAACCGUGAGCUUAUCUACCUCAGGUAGUUUGUAUUAUGAACUCAGCCUCACAUACUGCAUACCAAGGCAUGAGGAAGCCCCAUUCAGGUUAAGGACAUGAAACCACAAACUCAUCUUCAACUUGGCUCUGGCUACUAAAAGGGCAGCCUCCACUCCUUGAUUGUGGUAUUAAAAAAAAGUAUUAUGGUUUACAGUACCCUCCACACCUUGGUACUGCUGUUCACCUCUAUGACUUUGCUGUAGAAUGUUGCCAUAAGUGUACAAUGUUCAGGGAGCAUGAUGGCUCAAUUGUUAAAGAUGCUGAGAUUGUCAGCUGAAUGGCUCGAGUGCUAUGCAAUGGGUUGAGCUCCCAUUUUUUGCCCCAGCUCCUGCUCAUCUGGCAGUUCGAAAGCAUGCAAAUGCAAGUAGAUUAAUAGGUACCAUGGUGGGAAGGUAACAGCAUUCUGUGCACCUUUGGUGUAUAGAUAUGCGAGCCACAUGACCACAGAAAAUUUAUUUAUUUAUUUAUUUAUUUAUUUAUUUAUUUAUUUAUUUAUUUAUUUAUUUAUUUAUUUAUUAUUCGUAUUUCUAUGCUGCCCACUCUCCGAGGACUCUGGGCGGCUUACAACAAAGACAGUAUACUAAGUAGAAUAUUGCCCCCAAAAAUCUGGGUCCUCAUUUUACCCACCUCAGAAGGAUGGAAAGUUGAGUCAACCUUGAGCCGGUGAGAUUUGAUCCGCUGAUCUGCUGAACUAGCUGUCAGCUGAAGUAGCUGCAGUACAGCACUCUAACCACUUCACCACCUUGGCUCUUACUAAAAUGUCUUCAGACAAUGCUGGCUCCAUUGUCUAAGAGCAUCACCCUCUAAAGUCGGACAUGACUGGAUAGGCAAACCUAUACCUUAUAGAAUGUUCUCCUGGAAAGCUGCCAGAUCAUAGUUCUACUGCAGAAGCCUGUAAUGAAACCAUGGGCACCCGCUUCACUAUGGACAGCUUUGCUAUAGCAAUGCUGCAGAAGUGGUUGGCAGCCCCCUAAUGAAGAUGCCCACAGCUUCACAACAGCACCAUAGGGUUGCUGGAGAAGAGCUGCAGCCAGCAGCCCCACAGUGAAGAUGAAGAGAGUAGCUAACUUUACCAUGGGACUAUCAAUGCAGAGAAACUUCCAUCCCAUUUUUUGCGCUAUGGUCGAGAAAAGGGAAAAAAAGAAAUGAAAUGGGCAGCUAUAUAAAUUGCUUAAAAUAAAUAAGUAAAUUGACAGAAGACAUGUUUUUCCAAUUAUUUUCCAUACUAAUGAAAACAUUGGGAGAGAAGGGGGAAAGUUGACCCUUGGGAUUUCUGGUGUCCAUUGUUAGCACCAAAGGAGAUGUGUACCCCCGAUGCCAUCUCUCCUCCCCACACCUCUAGUAUAGACAUUGCCAGAACCUCUAUUGUACUCUAAAGGUGACAUAGUUCUUUGUGGACCCCCAUACUGAAUAAACAACAUUUUGUUGCUCUCUUGCAACAAAAUCUUCAGUCUAACACUUAUGCUGUUUUUUUUAAAAAAAACCCGAAAAUGGACAACGUUAUUUCAGUCUAGAAACAGUAUCUGUGGAAAGCCUUUGACACUUUACUCUAGAAAAUGGUGAAAAACCACUUAAGUAUUAAACCAAAUGUGCUUACGAAGACUCUGCUAAGGCUCUAAAGCUCUUGCUGUGAACCCUUCGUUUUCUUUUUAGUUCAAACUUUUAUUAAAGGUACAAAAGCAAAUCAUUAUAUUUCAGAUAGAUCAUUUGAAACUCUUCACCUGGAAUGUUAUCCUGAAAUAUGGCUGUAGGGAAUGAAUUAUGGUCUAUGUUAAACUGGGUUAGAAUAAAGAACAUUAACGCUGGUGGAAUAUUUGAAACAUUUUGUGUUUAGUUGCCAAGUAUCAAGCUUCCAUUUAAUUGUUUUUCUCUUCCUACUUUGUAACCUCGUCAUGUAAGUCCAUUGCCUAUGAAACAGUUUUGGAAAUUAAAUGAAUAAGGAAUAAUUUUUAAUGCAUUUUCCAAACUUCAGAUAAUUUAAUGAAUAUUUUCACUGAAAACUAUGUUGUAGUCAUGUACAGCACCCCAGAUCCUUAUCUGUUUUGUAAUUGUUUGCGUCAGUGGAGUUUGAAGUAAAAUGGGACAAGGAAAUGAUCUUUUCAGGGCAAAAUAGAGGGGACAAUGAUGGCUGAAGUUAUGUGGUAAAACAGAAUUUGAGCCACAGUAUAUUAUAAUAUUAAAAAAGGGACCUCAUAUUGAUUUUGUUAUAUUAUGAGGUGAUAACUAGAAAGAAUCAUAAUAUGUUAUAUUAUCAAAUGGAAAACAAUUACAGAAUGAAACAAUUCACAAUGACUUUAUUUUAUUUGUAUAAGAUUAUAAAAUAUAAACAGAAUAUCAAACAAUAAAGACAUUGCUAAAGCUCUUAAAGACCUUUAACAAAAUUUAAGAAAUUACAACAUUAAAGGAUUAGAGUUAUGGUGAAAACUAAAGAUACAGAUUUAGGUUAUAGUCAAGAUUUAUAAAAUAUAUCAUAUAAUACCAUAUAGUUAGAAACAAAAGAUAGAAAAAGAAAAAUUUACAUAAUAAUACCCCAUUUCCAAGAGUGAAACUUAAUAUCUGGGAUAAUACUGUAUACUUUUUUGCAAUUUUUUAAUAUGAUUCUUUUGGCCACUUUUGUACAGUACAGUACAGUACAAUACAGUACACUUUUGUACAGUACAGUACAACGGUAGUUCAUCAUAGUCAGAUUCCAAAAUUUUGGUAUAUAAUUCAAUAUUGUAUUACUUUAACAUCUGUAUUAGUGAGAAGCUGAGAUAGCGGCUUUAAAUCAAUUAUGUGUCAAUUAUUUUAAGGAUUUUUCACAACUUCAACUGAAUUUGGUCUAACAAGUUUGCAACAGUGGAAGCAUUUUUAAUUUACACAGCUUUUUAAUUUACUGAGCUUUUUAACAGCUCAGUAUAGGGCAGCUAAUGUGGUCAAUUCAAAGACACCAGAAAUGUUUUCUUAUUUGAUGGAAUCUAUCACAGAAAUUAAACUGUAAUAAAGAUGUUUACAAUGAUGGAAUCAUAUUUACAUUGAUUGGCUGCUUAGAUACAACUAGUAUAGGGAUUAAGUUGCUGGACUGUGAUGACCUAUAUUCAAGAGAUCUCUCAAGCAUAGAAGCUCACUGAAUGACUUUGGGCUGGUCAGUAUUUUUUUGACCCAACCUACCAUGUAGAAUCAUAGAAGAAAACAGAAGAGUCUUGAAUAACUUUCAACAUCUAUAAGAAAAGUAUGGUUUAAAAAUAAACAAAUUUAUUUCACUUGCCUGGGAACAGUAUUGACUGAAUAAUAUUGAUCUGCCUCCUUUGUAGACAUUUACAAGAUUAUAUUGCAAGAGAAGAAAUACAGAAACUAAUUUUUAUGAAAUGUUGUUUUACUGAAUUUUAGAAGGUGAGACAAGUUUGUACAACUAUAUCUAUCUAUCUAUCUAUCUAUCUAUCUAUCUAUCUAUCUAUUUAUCUAUCUAUCAUCUAUCAUCUAACUACACACACACACACACACACACAAACAUACAGUAUGCAUUAAUUUACUUAGAUAUGUGCAUAUUUACCAAAAACAAUUUACAUAAAUUUUUGUUUCAGUAGCAUAGCAAUAGCAAUAGCAAUAGCACUUAGACUUAUAUACUGCUUUAUAGUGCUUUACAGCCCUCUCUAAGCAGUUUACAGAGUCAGCUUCUUGCCCCCAACAAUCUGGGUCCUCAUUUUACCCGUUUUGGAAGGAUGGAAGGCUGAGUUAACCUUGAGCCUGGUGAGAUUCGAUCUGCCAAAUUGCAGGUAGCCAGCAUUCAGCAGAAGUAGCCUGCAGUACUGCACUCUAACCACUGCACCACCGAGGUUCAGUAUAAGGGGAAGGAGGAAGAGAAGCAGCAAUUUUAUAUUAUCUACUUUCCCUUUGUUGAUAAUUAGAUACAUUUAGACGUCCCACAAUGAAUGCCAACAUAGAGACACUGGAUUUUGAAUGUUUUCUCAUUGUUCCUCAGACCUUCAUGAAUGUUUGUAUUCCCUAUGGGAAUAUUCCAUAUUCCUCCCUCUCUAUGGAACAGCAUCCCCAUGGAAAUAAGAUUGGCUCCCACUUUGACACUCUUUUGCAAGGCUUUUGUCAACAGGCCUGGGGAACCCAGAGUGGAAUGGAGCCCAUCAAGUGGCUUAUUUGAUUGAAUGUUAUCACGCGAGAGAUGGGGGGAUAUUGCUUUUUUAUUGUUUUUAUAUUAGAUGUUUAUCAUUGUAAACUGAUUGGAGUCAUUGAGAUUGAGUUGGGCAGCCAUAGAAAUUUUCUUAAAUAAAUAAAAAAGCAAGCAAGCACUCAUUUGAGAAUUUGUGAGAAUAUUUUCACUGUUUUUUUAAAAAAUGUAAAUCUUAACUUGAGGAACAGGUAUAUCUCUUAUUUUCUGAUACUAAACAAUUUCCCGACUCUCUCCCUGCUAAAAGACUAACAUAUUCAUUCUCAAGAUAGCUUUUCUAAAAUGAGAGUAGAUUUUUUUUUUCAUUAGCCAAGAGAGGCAAAUUUCCUUUGUAAUAAGCAGAAGCUCCUAUAUGAUCAAAUACCCACUCUUUAAAAAUAGGAAUUCAGCUAACUCAGUUUAGGUAUAUAGAAAAGGGGAAAAUGUGCAGGACCCUUAAAUCAGAAUAUUUACAAUCCAAGGCAGCAUAAAGAAAUUAUGUUCAAAGUGUAUCAUAAAUCCGAUUGGCAUAUUUAGUGCAUUCCAUUUCCCUGUGAAUAGUGGCAGUAUACCUGUAAAAGAAUUGAAAUGAGGAGCCAAGUAGGUUUAGUUCAAUUAUGCAGCCCCUUCCUACCCUGUGUGCUAUUAACUUGACAUGGUACUGUUUCUGAGUAGGCAACCAAUCCUUAAGAGUUGCUUCAUUUAAAUGUUUUCCCAUCAUACUUGAGCUUAUAAGCAAUUGUCUAAGUAGCAAUUCCAACUUACAGGCCUUCUGACUUUAUCAAUUUGGCUGUGUUCCAUAUAUAAACUAUUUUUGAAGUGGAGGAAGGAGUCUUAAACCCUAACAAAUAUAAUUAGAUGUAAAAACUAGAACUGGAUAUAGAUACAGUACUUGUAUCUAAAACAGCAAUUGUUGAGUCAUGCUGCAUCGUCUAAUUAUCAGAUAUAAUUUCUGUGAUUAGGGACUUCCAUUACAUAAUGAAUGGUCGAGAAGUUAACAUGUUUUUUAUGAAUGGGUAGUGUAUUUAAAAAUAAAGGAGUACUCUUUCUUCACUUCAAAAAUGCUGAUAUUUAAAUGGGUUUUUUUAAAAAAAAUUCAUAGAAUGGACAGAUGAAGAUUAAAAAAACAUAAAUCCUUUAUGCUUAAGACAAUAUAUUUAUUUACAAUAGCCAAUUUUAUAACUCAAAGCGCAAGCAAAAAACAGGGCAGUGCUAAAUUUAUUUUGCUUUAAAGGGGAACCUUAGCAUAAGACUUUCUUUGUUGACUCUUAGGUCCAUAACUAUUUACCUUGAAUUAUAAACCAAGAUGUGGGUUAGUAAUUUGUCUGCUGCUGACUUUCAUCAGUCAUAUUCUGGAGAAUUCCCUUCUCUGCAGUUCUGGUCUUCCUAAUUCCUCAGAGGGAAGAUUCUGCCUAGUGAAUCGGGACAGACCAAACUAAAACCAAGGUAUGGUAAGAGGAGCAUAGUAGUUCACAAGGUUAAGAUGCUGGGCUGAUGAUCAGCAGGUUCGUGUUUGAUACCUGGUUGCUGCCACGGGAUGGGGUGAGCGCCUGUCACACACUCCAGCUUCUGCCAACCCAGCUGUUUGAAAAUGGGCGAUUGUAAUUAAUGCAAUAAAUUAAUGGGUACCACUUCAAUGAGUAACUUAACAGGGAUGAGAAAGGAACAGCCACCUACUAGGUAACGAUGAUGUUAUUGUCCAAUCUUUUCAACCCGGAAGCACUUUGGCUCUCCUGACAUGGCUGUAGUAAUAGUACUAAGGUAUGGUAGAAAUGGCCAUGAUAUUACUUCCCAAUACAAUCAGCUCCUGCAUGGGGCAUGGAGAAGGGACACCAUUUAAUCCAUUGCUUUAGGCAGUGAAGUGCCUCUUGUCAACCUUGCUCAUAUAAGUAAACGAUGUAAAAGCAUGAAACAGCUAUGAAAUAUUUUGCUGUAUGAUUUGACUAGUAACUCAAUUCAACUUACGGAUUUGCUGCCUAAAAUAAAUUAUAUAACAGUUUAUGGGAACUUUUGGCUAUGUAAUAUUGGAUGGAGAAAUGUGGAGUUAGUAUGUAGGGAUGAGCAUGUGCUGUCAAAGAUGGGCAUCUUGUAUUGCCCUUGGAGGCAGAACAUAUUGUCUGUCUAUUCAUGUUUUUAGAAAGAUGUUUAAGCUAUGAAAUGCUGAGGUAAUUCAUGUUUGAAUAUGAUACUAUUAAAAUAGUUAUAUUUCAGUCCUCUUUUAAUGUUCUAUUAUAACUUAGGAUAAUUAUAAUUGGGUUUUUUGUAUUUUUAUUCUUGUUAAAGUAAAAUGACUGCAAUAUAUCCUAAGCUAGACUUUUAAACCAUUUCUGUACCAGCCCUUUCUUUUCCCAUUAAAUAUGUGCAAAUUAAAAAA